RNAcentral lists this ribosomal RNA (424 nucleotides) under uncultured prokaryote. Its description in RNAcentral is "bacterial SSU rRNA". It matches the Rfam family "Bacterial small subunit ribosomal RNA", at positions 355 to 796 of the family's 1533-position model. The record is from RNAcentral.
UGGGGAAUAUUGGGCAAUGGGCGCAAGCCUGACCCAGCCAUGCCGCGUGGGUGAAGAAGGUCUUAGGAUUGUAAAGCCCUUUCACCGGGGAAGAUGAUGACAUUACCCGGAGAAGAAGCGCCGACUAACUCCGUGCCAGCAGCCGCGGUAAGACGGAGGGCGCUAGCGUUGUUCGGAAUCACUGGGCGUAAAGGGCGCGUAGGCGGCUGUUUAAGUCGAGGGUGAAAGCCCGGGGCUCAACCCCGGAACGGCCUUCGAGACUGGGCAGCUCGAGACCGGAAGAGGAGGGUGGAAUACCCAGUGUAGAGGUGAAAUUCGUAGAUAUUGGGUGGAACACCAGUGGCGAAAGCGGCUCUCUGGUCCGGAUCUGACGCUGAGGCGCGAAAGCGUGGGGAGCAAACAGGAUUAGAUACCCGUGUAGUCC